AAAUGUUUUAAUGUUUAUCUGGAAUGGCUACGUGCAAGUCAGCCUUUAGCUCUGUUCCCUGAAAAUUAUAAAACUACACAAUUGGAUAAUAAACUUUGUCAGUCCACUAGAGGCUGUCCCUGAGUGUCCUUUCCAGAGUGCGGUUCUCUGAGCCUUAUGGAUGGCGCCCAACGUGGGGCUCGAAGCAGCAGACUGAUUUUGAAGAAGGGCCGCACUCCUGCAGAAGCGAGAUGAUGGAACCGAGCAGUGGGUCCCACUCAAAAGAGUGAGAAGACGGACAGACCUUGCUCCACACCCCCUGAUUGGUCACAGCACUAAAACAGAAAUUGCAACAGAUGCCUUCCUCCUUAUGACAACCUAUCCUGAAAGAAAAAAUCAUCUGUGCCAGGGAUGGACUGGUCCACCUGUAGAGGAAGGUUUAAAGAAGUUUCUGUUCACGCCAACAUGACUUUGUUGAUUGGGGGCCUCAUGGACUCUUUGUGAAUUGCUCAGAAUCACAGAAAAUAAUCACACCUGCCAAUGGUAUAAUGUUUCAGCACCACAUUUUAACAGAACACAAACAGGACUCUAGCAUCAACGCGAUGAACUUUUGAACUGGUACAAUGAAUGAUACACCUCCCAGACCCCGGAUAAUCAGUCCAGUCCUGGGGCCUGAACACUGGCAUCUUUGGAAAACUCCUGCUGGCUUGUCCUGGUUUAGAGACUGGAUUCUGAACGUUAUGUGCUCGAGCCACCGCCGCCCAAAAAGCGAGAGUGAAAAUGGCUGCAGCAGUCCUUGCUCUUGAGGAAAAAGGGAGGAAACGUGGAGGAGCUGGAAGGCUUUGAGCAAAUACUGAAACUGAAAAUGUAUUUGCUCCACUCAUGACGAAGGUUGGAAGCUGGGACGAGCAUAAUAAACGGUUAUGAGCGUUCACUGAGUGCCCAAGGCUAGGAAAGGAUGACGAAGGGUCAAUACGCCCGGCCUGGAGGCGUUCGAAGGCUUCCUUCUGAUCACCUGUUUCUGAGAGCAAGGACUGUUGUUUCAUGAUAAGACUCCCUUUAGAGUUUCGCCAAAGCUAUGUUAUGGCUUGGGCGGUGGGAACUGUAUUUUAUGCUUGAAUGUUUUAAUGUUUAUCUGGAAUGGCUACGUGCAAGUCAGCCUUAUGCUCUAUUCCCUGAAAAUUAUAAA
Molecule: long non-coding RNA, 1168 nt
Organism: Capra hircus (goat)
Lineage: Eukaryota; Metazoa; Chordata; Mammalia; Artiodactyla; Bovidae
Exons: 3
Source: RefSeq, a predicted model, not a curated record